AAUGCAGUCGAGCGGACAGAAGGGAGCUUGCUCCCGGAUGUUAGCGGCGGACGGGUGAGUAACACGUGGGUAACCUGCCUGUAAGACUGGGAUAACUCCGGGAAACCGGAGCUAAUACCGGAUAGUUCCUUGAACCGCAGGUUCAAGGAUGAAAGACGGUUUCGGCUGUCACUUACAGAUGGACCCGCGGCGCAUUAGCUAGUUGGUGGGGUAAUGGCUCACCAAGGCGACGAUGCGUAGCCGACCUGAGAGGGUGAUCGGCCACACUGGGACUGAGACACGGCCCAGACUCCUACGGGAGGCAGCAGUAGGGAAUCUUCCGCAAUGGACGAAAGUCUGACGGAGCAACGCCGCGUGAGUGAUGAAGGUUUUCGGAUCGUAAAGCUCUGUUGUUAGGGAAGAACAAGUGCGAGAGUAACUGCUCGCACCUUGACGGUACCUAACCAGAAAGCCACGGCUAACUACGUGCCAGCAGCCGCGGUAAUACGUAGGUGGCAAGCGUUGUCCGGAAUUAUUGGGCGUAAAGGGCUCGCAGGCGGUUUCUUAAGUCUGAUGUGAAAGCCCCCGGCUCAACCGGGGAGGGUCAUUGGAAACUGGGAAACUUGAGUGCAGAAGAGGAGAGUGGAAUUCCACGUGUAGCGGUGAAAUGCGUAGAGAUGUGGA
RNAcentral lists this ribosomal RNA (663 nucleotides) under Bacillus zhangzhouensis. RNAcentral's name for it is "bacterial SSU rRNA". It matches the Rfam family "Bacterial small subunit ribosomal RNA", at positions 54 to 702 of the family's 1533-position model. Lineage: Bacteria; Bacillati; Bacillota; Bacilli; Caryophanales; Bacillaceae. The record is from RNAcentral.